Molecule: non-coding RNA, 2751 nt
Organism: Struthio camelus australis
Lineage: Eukaryota; Metazoa; Chordata; Aves; Struthioniformes; Struthionidae
Source: RefSeq, a predicted model, not a curated record
CAAUGGCAAACUGUGAGACUAACCAAGGAUUAGCUUUAGGAAAUGAAUGCUUUAUAAUAGAAAAUUAAUUAGAACAACUCAUUAACAUUUUUAUAUGGCCUUGAUUGCCCAUCACUCACAGAAUCCAAUUCUGAAGACAGCUAAUGUACAUCUCACCAGCACCACAUGAUGGCAAGUCAUUGAUGACUUGCAGAGACAAAACCAAAGCAUUUUCCCAUAAAACAUGGCAGAAUCUAUUUAGCCAGAAAAAAAUAAGUGUCAUGCUAUCACAAAUGCUGCCAAGCAAUUAAUUCCCUAUUAUAUUUCAGCUUUUCUAAACUGUAGACAAAGUGUCUCAGUUCAUUUGAACGGUCUACUUGAUGCUACCGGCAAACCAGUUCACAGAGGAAAUAGGAGUAUAGCUAAAUACGUCUGCAAGCAACACUACAAGCUCAUGGUGGACAUUCAGAAAACAAGGAAAAUAAGAAGCAGAUGCAAGAUGUUCAAGAUGUGCAGGAUGCUCAGGUCUGCUCACUGAAGACAGAAUCAUCAUACUUUUUUUCCAAAGGUUUAUAUUCUGACUGUCCCUGGGCAAAUUUUCACAAGGAUGACACAGAUGCAUCUCUGGUCUAAGUCUAAGGUCUAAAUUGUGAGAGUGUUAAGUUGUUUUGAAAGUUUUCCCUCAAAUUUUAAGGACUGAAAAUAGCCUCAUACUAUUUAACAGUUGAAACAUCCUGGGCUAGAAUUGUGAAAACAGUUGUCCUAACAAAGACAACUGACAAACAUAAUUUUAACCAAGGUUGCAAUUAAGGCUUUCCUCAGUUAUAAGCGAUUUAAAAUCAUAUUUUAUUGUGGAAUUGCUGGACAACUGCAACACCACCAAAUGCUGCUGUUACAACAAAACCUCCAAGAAUGGCAACCAAAUUUUGGAACAGGAGGUAUCUGACAUGCUACAUAAUGUGGUCUAAUAUCAUAAUCACUAAUCAAAACAAAGCAACUCCAAGAAACAGUUCUGUUGUUGACAUGAGAGAGAGUACACAAGGAAGAGAGAGUUCCUGUAAAGUGUUUGUUAAUGUAAUCAGUCAAUAAGACAUUUUACCCUUUCUUUUUUAAACUAGAGGUUUCAGAGACUCUGUUAACAUCCAUCCUGUAACCAAUUAAUUGAAUUCCAGGACCUGACAUCCUUGUAGAUACCAAGUAACCUAUUUCAGCUCUUAUGGUAUAGGGCAGACUUCAGUUUGGGUCAUUGUAAGUAUCUGCCUCCUUAUCUCAUUUCUUCCUCUGCUAGUACCUCUGCUAGUAUGAUGAGUCAUUAGCUGGCUAAGUUACUACUCAUGAGAUCGUUUGCUAGCAUUCUAAUUAACAGGUAUAUUUGUUAAUUCUUAUCAGUAAUUGCUUAUUAGCAGGCACGGAUUUUUGUGUAACAAUUGAUUGCGAUCUAAGGAACAAAAGUCAGUCACGUAUCACAAGUGUGCUAGACAAUAAAAACAGCCUUAGAGAAGUCAAAAAGCAAAGAGCACAAAAAAUAUGGCCUGCUUUUUUUUACUUUCUCUGAAGGCCUCUCAACAGACUUAACAAGAUUAUUUAUUUGUCAUCUACCCUAGCUUUUCUCUGAAAAACAUUCUUUUGGAAGUAUCACAGUGUGCAUCUCUAAUAAAGUGGUUGCAGAUUGCCUCCUCGUCAACCAUCUAUAACCUACCCACCGUGACACACCCUCCCAUCCUUCCCCAUCUGCUGCUCAGUCUUGUCACAUAGAUCAAAUGACUACUGACAUCCUGAUGUUUAUCCACUCUCUUUCAAGAACAAAUAAGGAUACUUCCAACUGCUUAAAAACAAACACUGUUGUCACUCUUCUAACAACUUUGAAUGCCAGCACUGUGUUCUGUGAAAGAAUCCCAGCUGGGAAAAAAGGUACAGCUUCUUAACCUCUGUGUGGGUCCUCGCAUUACCACGUCACAGUAUACACUGCCCACACAACAGUAGAACUAAUCAAGACAGUAGCUAAAAAGGUAGGCAAAAAUGAUCACCUCUGUUUAUCUACAGCCCAGAGGCAUACUAAGUGCCAAAGAGCCAGAGGCCACGCUGGAAAUCUGUUUUGGAGGUUUGAUACAUGAGGAAAAUAGGUUCUGCUAAUGAAUGAUGGAGUUGUUUCUAUCCCACCUACAGAACAGCCUCUUGACUCAGCUCAAGAACUGGUUUGAGUGAGAAAAUAAUCAUCUCUAAUAAUUCUACCUACUUCUGUACAAACUCUUUCUCUCAUUUGCACCAAAAUAUUUUGGGCAAGUUGCCCAAACAUUCACUUGGAAGAGGGAUUUAUUAUUUUAUGCUUUAUCAGAAGCUGACAUAGCAGUAUUUAUUAUAACUUAAAGUAUCAAAAUAGUUCAUAUAAACAGAUAGUGGGUGAGAACCUCUCUGUUUUAAAUGCCAGUAGUAAAAGGUCAUAGAGAACAGGUGUCAGCUGAGAGUAUUAAUAUUUGAUUCUCUCCUCAGCUUUACUAUAGGUGCUCUUUGUUAUACUCACAACUUUCUUAUCAUUGCUAUGCCUUAGUUUCUAUACUUGAAGAACUUCUAUAAUAAUUCUUGUCCAUCUCUGAGUCUGAGAUCUACUAGCAUUGUUUAUUAGCAUAGCCAUUUUAGAUCUAGACUGAAUACACUAUCCUUCUCUCUACUUUCCAUCCCUAUAUAUUUUCCACUCUUUUUUCUCCAAUGACCAUACUAAUACUUUGAAAACGGAGCUCAAGGAAACUGUAUCAAAUCAGUAAAACUGUUCUU